RNAcentral lists this non-coding RNA (48 nucleotides) under Schistosoma mansoni. The record is from RNAcentral. Lineage: Eukaryota; Metazoa; Platyhelminthes; Trematoda; Strigeidida; Schistosomatidae.
AUUCAGAUGACGAGUCUCAAAUAGGACGAAACACACGUCAAACUGGAU